This 253-nucleotide ribosomal RNA is filed under the name uncultured bacterium. RNAcentral describes it as "partial 16S ribosomal RNA". It matches the Rfam family "Bacterial small subunit ribosomal RNA", at positions 524 to 776 of the family's 1533-position model. The record is from RNAcentral.
UACGAAGGGGGCUAGCGUUGUUCGGAAUUACUGGGCGUAAAGGGCGCGUAGGCGGUACUUCAAGUCAGGCGUGAAAGCCCCGGGCUCAACCUGGGAACCGCGCUUGAGACUGGAGAACUAGAGUUCGGGAGAGGAUGGUGGAAUUCCCAGUGUAGAGGUGAAAUUCGUAGAUAUUGGGAAGAACACCGGUGGCGAAGGCGGCGAGCUGGUCCAUUACUGACGCUGAGGCGCGACAGCGUGGGGAGCAAACAGG